Molecule: ribosomal RNA, 463 nt
Filed under: uncultured bacterium
Lineage: Bacteria
Description: partial 16S ribosomal RNA
Rfam family: Bacterial small subunit ribosomal RNA
Source: RNAcentral
GAUGAACGCUGCCAGAAUGCUUAACACAUGCAAGUCUUUGGCGAAUCUGUGCUUGCACAGGCUAGCCAAGGCGGACGGGUGAGUAACGCGUAAAGAACUUGCCCUGCAGACAGGGAUAACAGACGGAAACGACUGAUAACACCUGAUACAGUUGCCGGCACGCAUGUGCCUGGCAAUGAAAAGAGAUGCUGCAGGAGAGCUUUGCGUCCUAUUAGCUUGUUGGUGAGGUGACGGCUCACCAAGGCGAUGAUAGGUAGCCGGCCUGAGAGGGUGAACGGCCACAAGGGGACUGAGAUACGGCCCUUACUCCUACGGGAGGCAGCAGUGGGGAAUAUUGGACAAUGGGGGCAACCCUGAUCCAGCAAUUCUGUGUGCACGAAGAAGGUUUUCGGAUUGUAAAGUGCUUUCAGCAGGGAAGAAGAAAGUGACGGUACCUGCAGAAGAAGCGACGGCUAAAUACGUG